CCCUCUCGAUACUGUCUUUUGAUUGAAAGAAGCUUCCAAGUUUGGUAAAAAAAUCCAGGAUAGUUUAUGAAUCUAAUAAAUGUUUUAUAAACUUUAACUGCAGACUGUAUGUAAUGUUAACUGGAAGACAAGAGUGCACACGCUGAAAUGUCUCGCCUUCUAUACUAAUCAUUGAUAUUAUGUUGAUAGUCCUAAGUAUAAAGCUAAUCUUUAUUACAACUGUCACAUAAACUUAACAUUAACCAAGAUAACUAAACAAAGACCAAUGAACCUUAAAAAAGAGGUCCAGGUCAGAUGAACCAUGCCAGGCAGACAGGUACAGCUAACAAUGCUUCUAUACAACAUAUAUAGUUGACACAUUAC
This 363-nucleotide long non-coding RNA is filed under the name Mytilus galloprovincialis (Mediterranean mussel). Lineage: Eukaryota; Metazoa; Mollusca; Bivalvia; Mytilida; Mytilidae. The record is from RNAcentral.